RNAcentral lists this unclassified non-coding RNA (248 nucleotides) under Hevea brasiliensis (rubber tree). Lineage: Eukaryota; Viridiplantae; Streptophyta; Magnoliopsida; Malpighiales; Euphorbiaceae. The record is from RNAcentral.
GUUUGCCCUUUUCUCUUGGUGCUUCAGUACUGAAUGCUGCCAUUUUCCAGCAGAGGCACUAAUCUGGAGGUUAGGUUAGGCUACAUUAAGGUUUUGUUGGACAAUUUCCAGAUGUUACAUCGCAUUACAGUACUAAAGUCUAUUCUAAUUUGAUAUAAUGACGAUAAAAAAAAUAGAGUUGUUAUCGAUGACUCUAGAGGCAUGUCCAUCAGUUUUGUUACCUGAUGUUGUAAUGUGUUUUUACGUUG